This 253-nucleotide ribosomal RNA is filed under the name uncultured bacterium. Its description in RNAcentral is "partial 16S ribosomal RNA". It matches the Rfam family "Bacterial small subunit ribosomal RNA", at positions 524 to 776 of the family's 1533-position model. The record is from RNAcentral.
UACGGAGGGAGCAAGCGUUAUCCGGAGUCACUGGGUUUAAAGGGUGCGUAGGCGGCUGUAUAAGUCAGAGGUGAAAGCCCGGAGCUUAACUUCGGAACUGCCUUUGAUACUGUAUAGCUUGAAAUAGGUUGAGGUCAGCGGAAUGUGGCAUGUAGCGGUGAAAUGCAUAGAUAUGCCAUAGAACACCAAUUGCGAAGGCAGCUGGCUGGACCUUAUUUGACGCUGAGGCACGAAAGCGUGGUGAGCGAACAGG